UACGUAGGGGGCAAGCGUUGUCCGGAUUUACUGGGCGUAAAGAGCGUGUAGGCGGCCAAACAGGUCCGUUGUGAAAACUGGAGGCUUAACCUCCAGACGUCGACGGAAACCGUAUGGCUAGAGUCCGGAAGAGGAGAGUGGAAUUCCUGGUGUAGCGGUGAAAUGCGCAGAUAUCAGGAAGAACACCCGUGGCUAAGGCGGCUCUCUAGUACGGUACUGACGCUGAGACGCGAAAGCGUGGGGAGCGAACAGG
Molecule: ribosomal RNA, 253 nt
Filed under: uncultured bacterium
Lineage: Bacteria
Description: partial 16S ribosomal RNA
Rfam family: Bacterial small subunit ribosomal RNA
Source: RNAcentral